This 253-nucleotide ribosomal RNA is filed under the name uncultured bacterium. RNAcentral describes it as "partial 16S ribosomal RNA". It matches the Rfam family "Bacterial small subunit ribosomal RNA", at positions 524 to 776 of the family's 1533-position model. The record is from RNAcentral.
UACGUAGGGGGCAAGCGUUGUCCGGAUUUAUUGGGCGUAAAGCGCGCGCAGGCGGUCUCUUAAGUCUGAUGUGAAAGCCCACGGCUCAACCGUGGAAGGUCAUUGGAAACUGGGAGACUUGAGUGUAGGAGAGGAAAGUGGAAUUCCACGUGUAGCGGUGAAAUGCGUAGAUAUGUGGAGGAACACCAGUGGCGAAGGCGACUUUCUGGCCUAUAACUGACGCUGAGGCACGAAAGAGUGGGGAGCAAACAGG